GGCGGAUGUAGCCAAGUGGACCAA
This 24-nucleotide transfer RNA is filed under the name Salvia heerii. RNAcentral's name for it is "partial tRNA-His". Lineage: Eukaryota; Viridiplantae; Streptophyta; Magnoliopsida; Lamiales; Lamiaceae. The record is from RNAcentral.